RNAcentral lists this ribosomal RNA (429 nucleotides) under Bacillota bacterium. RNAcentral's name for it is "Firmicutes bacterium partial 16S ribosomal RNA". It matches the Rfam family "Bacterial small subunit ribosomal RNA", at positions 355 to 776 of the family's 1533-position model. Lineage: Bacteria; Bacillati; Bacillota. The record is from RNAcentral.
UGGGGAAUAUUGGACAAUGGGCGCAAGCCUGAUCCAGCAAUGCCGCGUGUUUGAAGAAGGCCUUCGGGUUGUAAAGCACUUUUAUCAGGAGCGAAAUACCACGGGUUAAUACCCUAUGGGGCUGACGGUACCUGAGGAAUAAGCACCGGCUAACUUCGUGCCAGCAGCCGCGGUAAUACGAAGGGUGCAAGCGUUAAUCGGCAUUACUGGGCGUAAAGCGUGCGUAGGUGGUGAUUUAAGUCUGCUGUGAACUCCCCGGGCUCAACCUGGGAAUGGCAGUGGAUACUGGAUUGCUAGAGUGUGAUAGAGGAUGGUGUAAUUCCCGGUGUAGCGGUGAAAUGCGUAGAGAUCGGGAGGAACAUCAGUGGCGAAGGCGGCCAUCUGGAUCAACACUGACACUGAGGCACGAAAGCGUGGGGAGCAAACAGG